Molecule: ribosomal RNA, 566 nt
Filed under: uncultured bacterium
Lineage: Bacteria
Description: bacterial SSU rRNA
Rfam family: Bacterial small subunit ribosomal RNA
Source: RNAcentral
UCCUACGGGAGGCAGCAGUGGGGAAUUUUCCGCCAUGGGCGAAAGCCUGACGGAGCAAUACCGCGUGAGGGAGGAAGGCUCUUGGGUUGUAAACCUCUUUUCUCAGGGAAGAACAAAAUGACGGUACCUGAGGAAUAAGCAUCGGCUAACUCCGUGCCAGCAGCCGCGGUAAUACGGAGGAUGCAAGCGUUAUCCGGAAUUAUUGGGCGUAAAGCGUCCGCAGGUGGCAGUUCAAGUCUGCUGUCAAAGGUCAGGGCUCAACCCUGAACAGGCAGUGGAAACUGAACAGCUAGAGUGCGGUAGGGGCAGAGGGAAUUCCCAGUGUAGCGGUGAAAUGCGUAGAGAUUGGGAAGAACACCGGUGGCGAAAGCGCUCUGCUAGGCCUGCACUGACACUCAGGGACGAAAGCUAGGGGAGCGAAUGGGAUUAGAUACCCCAGUAGUCCUAGCCGUAAACGAUGGAUACUAGGCGUAGCCUGUAUCGACCCAAGCUGUGCCGUAGCUAACGCGUUAAGUAUCCCGCCUGGGGAGUACGCGCGCAAGCGUGAAACUCAAAUGAAUUGACGG